Molecule: non-coding RNA, 1303 nt
Organism: Oryzias latipes (Japanese medaka)
Lineage: Eukaryota; Metazoa; Chordata; Actinopteri; Beloniformes; Adrianichthyidae
Source: RefSeq, a predicted model, not a curated record
ACAUUAAUAAUUUAUAGGUUUUAUUACUAUUUUUGUUUAAAAAGAGAAAUUGUUUUUGUUGUCGAUAAAGUUUAAAGUUUUUCAAGAGCCCUCCCCAACCUGUGCGUUGCGUAGCGGAGAGAUAGGCCUGUUUAGGGCAGAGACAGCAAGCACGCGCAGCAGAGUAGCCAUUAGCUGAAAAACUACGGUGAAAAACUAAAAUAACGGUGCAAACCUGUUGUCUAGCCAGACCAGAAGAGGGGUGUGAGCCAAAUAAGAUUUUAUGCCAUUACGAGACGAGUUUUGGCCAGGUUUUUGAGUCCCCCCGAGAGAAAUUGGGAGACGUUCUGGACUUCUCCUGAUCCAUGGAUGGCGAGCCUACCCAAGGAGCACGAUAAUCCGGACUGCCUGUAGAGCAUCACGUGGUCCUUUACUUUUCCUCACUACUACAAAAUCUCUGCCAAGGUUGCGGUAGGAGAUUGAACACUAACUGUGGAUCCAAUAUACUUUAAAGGAGCACUACCAAAACUGGAUACGUCUGCUAACAAACUUUAAAGGAUUUUGCUAAGCAAUUGGACAUUUAGAAAAACAGUUCUUUGUUUGCUUUGCAUAUUGAAUUGUCUUUUGUUUGAUAUCUGAUAUUUUGUAACUUUAAAGGAUACUUUUGGUGUAAAUUUAAAGUGACAAAACUGAUUUACAAAAAAGUGAAAAGGGUAAAUAUAGUGAACUCAAAAGAAAGCUUAAACUAAAUUUAAGUUAAAUAAAUUCAGUUCUGUAACUAAAAUCCCUUUAAACCAAAUGACCGGUCAUCUUUAAGUAAAAUAGAUUGAAACUGAAAUUAACUUGAACAAAACCUUUUAUUUGAACUUUAACAGAAGAAGUAAAGAAAAAAACAACAUAAAGGGUGUUGAAGAGGUGUCUUAACAUUACUUAAGAACCAUAUUUGUAUGUUUAUUGUUGUUUGUCAAUCAUUCAGUAAACUGCCGGCUUUUUCUUUUCCAUUCUACCUUUGUAUUGACUCUUGGCUCUUUUAUUCAAUACACACCACUCCGUGCGAACCUAUAUCUGGUCCAAUAGCUUGACUACCUCUGCCUAAUAGCAUAGGUGCUACACAUGGGUCGACCGUCCUACCACGGCUGCCCACGAAUGUGAUCUAUGUUUUCAGUCCAGGAUGUUUUUCUCUCAGCUCUGCAGCUACUUCUGAGAAUUUCAGGAACAUCUGAAAUGUUCAGGUGAAAAGACCACGAUCCCUUUCAGGUGACUUUGGUGUCUUCUUUAGGGGAUCUUGGAAUGUUUGUCUCUGAUUAAAAGACCUGAUGUUGUC